RNAcentral lists this small nuclear RNA (149 nucleotides) under Saimiri boliviensis boliviensis (Bolivian squirrel monkey). Its description in RNAcentral is "U1 spliceosomal RNA (ENSSBOG00000006006.1)". It matches the Rfam family "U1 spliceosomal RNA". Rfam says of the family: U1 is a small nuclear RNA (snRNA) component of the spliceosome (involved in pre-mRNA splicing). Its 5' end forms complementary base pairs with the 5' splice junction, thus defining the 5' donor site of an intron. There are significant differences in sequence and secondary structure between metazoan and yeast U1 snRNAs, the latter being much longer (568 nucleotides as compared to 164 nucleotides in human). The record is from Rfam by way of RNAcentral. Lineage: Eukaryota; Metazoa; Chordata; Mammalia; Primates; Cebidae.
AUACUCACCUAGUUAGGGAAACACCAGGAUCAUGAAGGUGGUUUUCCCAGGGUGAGGCUCAUCCAUUGCACGCUGGGUGUGCUGGCCUCUGCAGGAAACCUGACUGCAUAACUGGGGUAGUGAGGCUACUGCGCUUGCAUGUCCCCUGU